Molecule: ribosomal RNA, 497 nt
Filed under: uncultured bacterium
Lineage: Bacteria
Description: partial 16S ribosomal RNA
Rfam family: Bacterial small subunit ribosomal RNA
Source: RNAcentral
GAUGAACGCUGGCGGCGUGCCUAAUACAUGCAAGUCGAGCGAACAGACGAGGAGCUUGCUCCUCUGACGUUAGCGGCGGACGGGUGAGUAACACGUGGAUAACCUACCUAUAAGACUGGGAUAACUUCGGGAAACCGGAGCUAAUACCGGAUAACAUGUUGAACCGCAUGGUUCAACAGUGAAAGACGGUCUUGCUGUCACUUAUAGAUGGAUCCGCGCCGCAUUAGCUAGUUGGUAAGGUAACGGCUUACCAAGGCAACGAUGCGUAGCCGACCUGAGAGGGUGAUCGGCCACACUGGAACUGAGACACGGUCCAGACUCCUACGGGAGGCAGCAGUGGGGAAUCUUCCGCAAUGGGCGAAAGCCUGACGGAGCAACGCCGCGUGAGUGAAGAAGGUCUUCGGAUCGUAAAACUCUGUUAUUAGGGAAGAACAAAUGUGUAAGUAACUAUGCACGUCUUGACGGUACCUAAUCAGAAAGCCACGGCUAACUACGUG